Hyaena hyaena (striped hyena) is the source of this 542-nucleotide long non-coding RNA. RefSeq lists it as uncharacterized. The record is from RefSeq and is a predicted model, not a curated record. Lineage: Eukaryota; Metazoa; Chordata; Mammalia; Carnivora; Hyaenidae. The transcript has 2 exons.
UGGAUUAGGAUACAGGGGAGGAAGCAUCUAUUACAGACUUGGUUUAAAAAAGUCAGAAAAGGUAUCUAUGUAACUGGGUUCCAACAAAUACUGCUGAAUCUGGCCGCCUGACCCUUACUCAACCUCAUGAGACUAUAAAGUUUGAGACACAUUAAUUCAUCUCUUGUUCAACUGAAGGUUUACCCAGAGAGAUUAAGUUCACUCGCUACAAAGAAGUUAUAAAGUAACCGAAUGUGGGCAAUUUUGGAUUAACAUGAAACAAUGCUUUUCUUUCAGAAUCACUUGGGGAGACCAAAAUUAAGUCACAGUGGAAGACAAAAGCCGGGGCAACAGGAAUCCUGAACGAGGCAGAAAGAGGAGCUGACCAGAGAGGGGCCUGCCGCUAAAUCACACCGUCAAAACCUCCUGCCUGGCUCCACUGCUGCAACUUAUCUACCUGCGGCCUGAUCUCCCGCGAGACCCUCCCUUGCACCUCCAUCCCUGGCACUGACCCCUUUGUGCCUCUUCAUCCCCUGAUUAAACUCCCCUCUCCUGAGCAGCUA